Molecule: RNA transcript, 3976 nt
Organism: Rhineura floridana
Lineage: Eukaryota; Metazoa; Chordata; Lepidosauria; Squamata; Rhineuridae
Gene name: zinc finger protein 135-like
Exons: 3
Source: RefSeq, a predicted model, not a curated record
CUGGGAGCGCCGGAGGAGCCCCUUUUCGUGCGCGAUGUUGGCGAGCGCGGUUGCGCGGGGGGAGCCCCGAGACAAAGGAUACAUCUGGGGGUCCAAGGCUGAGGGAGAACCAUCUGAAGUAUCACUGGAAAAAACUCAGGAGCAGGAGCAAAAACUGAGGAGACAAGAGGAGAGACAGACUCAUACAGGGGACAAAUCUUAUAAAUGUUUCGAGUGUGGAAAGACCUUUACUCGGAGUGGCCACCUUACUUCGCAUCAAAGAACUCACACAGGAGACAAACCUUAUAAAUGCUUGGAAUGUGGAAAGAGCUUCAGUCGGAGUGACAGCCUUACUUCGCAUCAAAGAACUCACACAGGAGACAAACCUUAUAAAUGCUUGGAGUGUGGAAAGAGCUUCAGUCGGAGUAGCACCCUUACUUUGCAUCAAAGAACUCACACAGAAGACAAACGUUAUAAAUGCUUGGAGUGUGGAAAGAGCUUCAGUCAGAGUAGCACCCUUACUUCACAUCAAAGAACUCACACAGGAGACAAACCUUAUAAAUGCUUGGAAUGUGGAAAGAGCUUCAGUCGGAUUGACAGCCUUACUUCGCAUCAAAGAACUCACACAGGAGACAAACCUUAUAAAUGCUUCGAGUGUGGAAAGAGCUUCAGUCGGAGUAGCACCCUUACUUUGCAUCAAAGAACUCACACAGGAGACAAACCUUAUAAAUGCUUCGAGUGUGGAAAGAGUUUCAGUGACAGUAGCACCCUUACUUUGCAUCAAAGAAUUCACACAGGAGACAAACCUUAUAAAUGUUUGGAGUGUGGAAAAGGCUUCAGUCGGAGUGACAGCCUUACUUCGCAUCAAAGAAUUCACACAGGGGAAAAACCUUUUAAAUGCUUGGAGUGUGGAAAGGGCUUCAGUCGGAGUGUCAGCCUUACUUCGCAUCAAAGAAUUCACACAGGGGAAAAACCUUUUAAAUGCUUGGAGUGUGGAAAGGGCUUCAGUGACCGUAGCACCCUUACUUGUCAUCAAAGAACUCAUACAGGGGACAAACCUUAUAAAUGCUUGGAGUGCGGAAAGAGCUUCAGUGACCGUAGCACCCUUACUUGUCAUCAAAGAACUCAUACAGGGGACAAACCUUAUAAAUGCUUGGAGUGUGGAAAGAGAUUCAGUGAUAGUAGCAACCUUUCUUCGCAUCAAAGAAGUCACACAGGGGACAAACCUUAUCAAUGCUUUGAGUGUGGAAAGAGCUUCAGUCAGGGUAGCCACCUUAAUUUGCAUCACAGAACUCAUACAGGGGACAAACCUUAUAAAUGCUUGAAGUGUGGAAAGAGCUUCAGUCAGAGUGGCAACCUUACCUCGCAUCACAGAACGCAUACAGGGAACAAACCUUAUACGUGCUUGUAGUGUUGAAAGACAUUUCAUCAGAAUGGCUACCUUCAGGCACAUCAAAAGAUCCGUUUAAGGGAAGAGAUGUAUAAAUGCUUUGAAGUGGAAAGAACUUUAAGCAGAGUUCUGCUCUUUCUCUGCAUCCAUACGGGGAAGCCGGGCUUCAAACAAGAUUUUUAUGGGAGUUUCAGACCCCCGACAGUGUCCUUCUCUUAGCUUAACCACAAACUGUUCCACUUCCCUUCACCCCAUGCUGUGGAGUUGGAAUCGUGGAGUGGGAGUGGGAGUCGGAAGCAAUUUUGGGUGGAGUUGGUAGAAAUGUACCGAGUCCAACUCCGGCUUCAAGAUAAAAUUAAUAUUUUAAUAGAAUAGUUACAGGAAGCAUGAAAAUCAUGAUAAUCUUGGCAGAAAGUGGGAUUCUGGGUGUGGUUCUUUUUCCCGUCCCCUUCAAGGGUGAAAUAAUGUUUGCAUUUACUUACACCAACCUCUAUGCCUUUCUUUCCUUUGCUCUUGUUUCCCAAAACACAGAACUCACCCAAUCUUGACAGAGCCAAAUUCCACUGUGGCACCAGAACACCACUUCCUUGCAGUGUCUAAGAUGCCUGGGAAUCCAGGUGCCACAAUGAGUGUGGAAGAUACAAGGUCAACAGGGAAAUUGUUUCAUGGGUCAAAGUCACAGCUGGUUCAGCUCAGCUCCGUUCUUGCGCUGUGACACUUGUGCAGUUGUUUGCACCCUGCAGGCAGAACGGGCCAUCAGCAUCAGUAGAUAUGAACCUUGCCACCAAUCCCCAGGGAGAGUGGGAUGACCAGGCUCCAUGAGGAGCUCUGGAAAGGCCUCUUUGACCUAUGAAUGCAGUGUUCUAACAACUUCAAUUAAUACCCAACAGUAUUUCCAGAGGGCUUCACCCUCUAACUUUAAUGUGGAAGGAUGAGAGAGAAAAGAUGGUGAACUGGGCAUGCACAUGGGCCAUGCCAUCAAAAUCUCUAUGGAGACAAUCCAUGCUCACGGCUAGCAGUGCUGGGAGUGGGGCAAGAGCCACUGCUGUUUUUGUUCUUAUGCUUCUGUUAAUAUAAGGGAGAUAGAGUGAGGGUCUCCAGCUGGCUAGGCUUGCCUACCUUUACCUGUGAUGUGCUCUGACUUGUCUUCCAUUGAAGACUGAUUUGUCUGCACUGACUGGCAGCAUCACUCUGGGGUUUCAGAGAGGGAGCCUUUCUCACCCUUUGUGGAACUGCUGGGGACUGACCUGGACUGAUCCUUAAGAACGACUCUUUCUUUUUCUGGACCGACUAUGCCCUAGACCAGUUGGUCAUGGAACAGACAUAAGAACAUAAUCAGGCCAGUGGCCCAUCUAGUCCAGCAUCCUGUUCUCACAGUGGCCAACCAGGUGCCUGGGGAAGCCCGCAAGCAGGACCCGAGUGCAAGAACACUCUCCCCUCCUGAGGCUUCCGGCAACUGAUUUUCAGAAAUAUACUGCCUCUGACUAGGGUGGCACAGCACAGCCAUCACGGCUAGUAGCCAUUGAUAGCCCUGUCCUCCAUGAAUUUGUCUAAUCUUCUUUUAAAACCAUCCAAGCUGGUGGUCAUUACUGCGUCUUGUGGGAACAAAUUCCACAGUUAACUAUGUGCUGAGUAAGGAAGUACUUCCUUUUGUCUUUCCUGAAUCUUCCAACAUUCAGCUUCUCUGAAUGUCCAUGAGUUCUAGUAUUAUGAAAGAGGGAGAAAAACGGUCUCUAUCCACUUUCUCAAUGCCAUGCAUAAUUUUAUACACUUCUAUCAUGUCUCCCCUGACCCGCCUUUUCUCUAAACUAAAAAGCCCCAAAUGCUGCAACCUUUCCUCAUAAGGGAGUCGCUCCAUCCCCUUGAUCAUUCUGGUUGCCCUCUUCUGAACCUUUUCCAACUCUAUAAUAUCCUUUUUGAGAUGAGGCGACCAGAACUGUAUACAGUAUUCCGAAUGCGGGCAUACCAUAGAUAUAUGUUUUAUUUUCAAUACCUUUCCUAAUGAUACCUAGCACGGAAUUUGCCUUUUUCACAGCUGCCGCACACUGGGUCGACAUUUUCAUCGUGCUGUCCACUACAACCCCGAGGUCUCUCUCCUGGUCGGUCACCGCAAGUUCAGACCCCAUGAGUGUAUAAUCAAGGAGACAGGUGACCCUUUCCAGACAAUUUCUCUGCAGUGCCCUGAAAUGCAUCUCCCAAGACUUUGUUCUAUAGUCAGCUGGAAGGACCGGCUACUUGCUUGCCCAUGUGCUCACCUGGCCUGCUCUGCCCUUCCCAAAGCACCCCAUUGACAUUGAAUGAGCAACAGAGAGUCGGAAGCUGAUGUGGCAUCAGUGGAUCUGGGAAACUCCAUGCUGGUGUAUUCCUGCAUCAGCCAAAGGGCUCAGAUAUGCCAUACCUCUGAGGGAUGUUGGAGUUCUGUUCCCAUCAACUAAAAGACCCCCCCACAACUUCUCAGAUUUUAGUGGGCAUGUCUUUGACAUUUUGAAGCCUCAUGUCACAUUUAUAAGAGGUAGAAAUGUAUUGGUUUCUUCAAUGGAAGAUUAAAUGUUUUGUUGGAAUGUAUGAGGUUCAACUCCAACUUGGUGGGUUGAGGCUGCAUGGGGU